CCGUCGAUAGCUCAGUUGGCAGAGCGGUGACUGUAGGUGGUUUCAUAAUCCAUAGGUCGCUGGUUCGACUCCGGCUCGGCGGA
Non-coding RNA from Trichonephila clavata, 83 nucleotides. NCBI's taxonomy places the organism in Eukaryota, Metazoa, Arthropoda, Arachnida, Araneae, Nephilidae. The record is from the annotation of a GenBank genome assembly.